UGUGUUCUUUUACGGUCCUCCAGGAAACAAAGCCGUAGUGACUCCAAACCCCCUCGUGGACGACGAAAGACGUCGUGUUUACAACUGUGGCAAUGAACGCUUAUCAGGAUCAAUUAAACGCUGGAUUUUCAAAAGAUGUCGUGGUUGUUGAGGUGGCCGCUCACAUGGAAACGCGGUCCACGAAUGCCUUGGUUGAGGCGGAUGUUGAAGAAGCGAGGGUUGAGGUGCAGAUGAACGAAGGUCUUACAGGUGUGGAACGACAUGAAGGUGAGUAAUUAAUGACAGAAUUUUCAUUUUUGUGUGAACUAACCCUUUAAUUGUUUCCACCAGAUUUAAUCUAUUCUCUUCCUUGUGCUUUUUGUAAACAGGAUAUGGGACGCACCCACAAAAUGAGCAUGUGUCCUUCCGGAGCACAUGUGUAACAUUGUAUCACCAGAUACAGAGAAGCCAUAAUGUCAUCAUGACAACACUAGUAUUGCUUUAUUUUAGGUUUAGACAGAAAUCGUCUUUGAGGAGUCCCUUUUAAGAGAUAAACUGAGGAUAGAUUAUUUCCUAAGCUUCAAACAUAUUAAAUAUUGCCAUCAGCUCAAGCUGAUCCCCAUGUGGUUGUAAAUGCUGUUGGUUAUGGAUUCUAAUUUUAGCUGUUUCACCUAAAAAUUCAGCCAAUCCAGAAGAUUUAAUGUGCUCUUUUUCCAAUGUACACUACCAUUCAGUCAGUAAGAUUUCUUUUUCCAAAAGAAAUAAAUACUUUUUUUGAACAAGGAUGCAUGAAAUUGAUCAAAGUGACUGUAAAGACAUUUAUAAUGUUACAAAAGAUUUCUGUUUUAAAUAAAUGCUGUUCUUUUAAACUUUCUACACGAAGUGCUGGGUUAAAAUCAAAUGCAGUGAUUG
Long non-coding RNA from Megalobrama amblycephala (Wuchang bream), 891 nucleotides. RefSeq lists it as uncharacterized. NCBI's taxonomy places the organism in Eukaryota, Metazoa, Chordata, Actinopteri, Cypriniformes, Xenocyprididae. The record is from RefSeq and is a predicted model, not a curated record. The transcript is spliced from 3 exons.